AAGAUCAUACUUUUAGGGUUCAUUUCUAUAGUGUGUAUCUUGAAAACGUCGUCGUAUUUUGGCGAUACGACAACUGAGAUGAUGAGUCGCAGGAUUCUCCUCUGAGCAUGAAGCUUUACUGUCAUUUACAAACAGUGACUGAGGAUUGUUUUCAAUGCUCUUGUAGUAAUGAAAGGAGGAGAAUUCUUGCUGAGCAGU
This is a non-coding RNA of Ciona intestinalis (vase tunicate), 198 nucleotides long. NCBI's taxonomy places the organism in Eukaryota, Metazoa, Chordata, Ascidiacea, Phlebobranchia, Cionidae. The record is from Rfam.